This 327-nucleotide ribosomal RNA is filed under the name Triticum aestivum (bread wheat). Its description in RNAcentral is "partial small subunit ribosomal RNA". The record is from RNAcentral. Lineage: Eukaryota; Viridiplantae; Streptophyta; Magnoliopsida; Poales; Poaceae.
AUGCAUAAGAUAUCUGUGAUAUUUGCCGAAUUAUUAUUUGUAGGUUUGAAGUACCAAGGCACAAUGGCUGAUAGGGCACUGGAGGAACUGCACACCAUGGUUCAGACACCAACUUCCCUGAUGCGACCAACUCACCGGUUCAGUGAGCAUUGUGUGGCUACUCUUGGAUCCGGUGAAUCUGGUGGUUCUGUUUAUAUUAUGUAUUGUGGGACUAUUGAGUUCACAACGCUUUCCAAAUACUCAUAUGUGAUUUCUUUUUUAUUUAUACUCGUGCAGAAAAAUAAAGAGCAUCUUGAUUCUUGUAUUGUUGAAGGCAGCUGUAGCUAA